Molecule: ribosomal RNA, 1234 nt
Filed under: Urochelellus acutihumeralis
Lineage: Eukaryota; Metazoa; Arthropoda; Insecta; Hemiptera; Urostylididae
Description: 16S ribosomal RNA
Rfam family: Archaeal large subunit ribosomal RNA (bases 815-1181)
Source: RNAcentral
UAUUUAUUUUUUUAAUAGUUUUAUUAGUUUAAUAUCUUUUAUAAAGAUAAUUUUUUUAUUAGUAAAUUUUAUUGAAUAUAUUAUUUUUUUUAUAGCUUAUUGUACUGUGAAGGAUAAUUUAUAAAUAGUUAGAAGUAAAUUUUAUAAUUGUACCUUUUGUAUCAGGGUUUAUCUAAUUAAUUUACUUAAAGUAUUUAUCCCGAAAUUAAAAGAGAUAUAUAUUAAUUUUAAUUAAUGUUACAUAAUUAUUUGUAAUUGGUAUAUAGAAGUUAUAUGCUAUUCAAUUUUAAAUAUCUGGUUUCCUAAGAGUUGAAUUUAUUUCAGCCAUAAUUGGUUAUUGCUUUAAUUUUAUUUUAUUUGUUUUUUAUGGUUAUAUUAAAGGGGAUAAGCUUUUUAAUUUUCUAUAAAUAAUUUAUUAAUUAAAUUGUGUAGGAUUAAUAAUAUCCAUCAUUUAUUUUGUUAUAAUUAGGUUUUAACAUAUUUUGAUUUAUUUUGUUUUAGAUUUUUAUUAGGACGUUUUAUUAAAUUUAUUUAAAAAAGUGAAAAUGAUAAAAUUAGUAUAAUAGAUUUUAUAUUUAUAGUAACUCGGCAAUUAUAAUGUUCACCUGUUUAACAAAAACAUGUCCUACUGUAUAUUUAUAUUAGGUUUGGCCUGCUCGGUGAUUUAUUUAACAGCUGCAGUAAUUUGACUGUGCAAAGGUAGCAUAAUCAUUUGUCUUUUAAUUGAAGGCUGGUAUGAAUGGUUUGAUGAAAUAUUAUCUUUCUUUAAGUAUUUUUUUUAAUUUAAUUUUUAUGUGAAAAAGCAUAAAUGUAAUUGAGGGACGAGAAGACCCUAUAGAGUUUUAAUAUUAUUUAAUUUAUUCUUAAUUGUAAAUUUUAUAUUUUUUAAUUUAACUUAUAUUUUUGUUGGGGCGAUAUUGGGAUAUUAAAAACUCCUUUUUUUGUAAAUUAUUCAUAUAUAUGCUUAGGAUCCUAUUUAUAGAUUAUAAGAUUAAAUUACCUUAGGGAUAACAGCGUAAUUAAAUCGGAGAGUUCUUAUCGAUGAUAUAGUUUGCGACCUCGAUGUUGGAUUAAAAUUAGUUUUAGGUGUAGAAGCUUAAGUUACUAGGUCUGUUCGACCCUUAAUAUUUUACAUGAUCUGAGUUCAGACCGGCGUGAGCCAGGUUGGUUUCUAUCUUCAAUAUAACUUUUAUUAUUUUAGUACGAAAGGACCAAAUAAUAUAAAUAUUUUAUU